This is a long non-coding RNA of Dama dama (fallow deer), 1007 nucleotides long. RefSeq lists it as uncharacterized. The transcript is spliced from 4 exons. The record is from RefSeq and is a predicted model, not a curated record. Lineage: Eukaryota; Metazoa; Chordata; Mammalia; Artiodactyla; Cervidae.
CUGGCAGGCUACAGUCCGCAGGGUGGCAAAGAGUUGGACACGACUGAGUGACUAAACAACAAAAACCAACAAAAAGGCGGAGGCAUGUUAGAUGUUGGUGCAGGAAUGAAGAAAAUGAAGUUCCUACUCUCAUGAAACUUGCAUUCUGAGGACGGAAGACAAGUGAUAAGCUGGUGAACAGCAUCAGGGUCUUUUCCAAUGAAGAGUUGGCUCUUCACAUCAGGUGGCCAAAAUAUUGGAGCUUCAGCUUCAGCAUCAGUCCUUCCAGUGAAUAUUCAGGGUUGAUUUUCUUUAGGAUGGACUGAUUUGAUCUCCUUGCUGUCCAAGGGACUCUCAAGAAUCUUCUUCAAUACCACAGGUCAAAAGCAUCAAUUCUUCCACUCUCUACCUUCUUUACGGCCCAACAUCAGUACAUGACUACCAGAAAAACCAUAGCUUUGACCAUACAGAUCUUUGUUGGCAAAGUGUUGUCUUUGCUUUUGGAUAUGCUGUUUAGGGUCAUCAUAGCUUUUCUUCCAAGGAGCAAGCAUCUUUUAAUUUCAUAGCCGCUUAGCAUGUUUUAGGAACAGCCAGAAAGCCAGUGAGUGAGCUCACUUACCAGAGCUCAGUGAGUGAGGGGAUGGGGAUAUAUGGAUCAACUGGUCCAGCUUCCCUCUCAAGCCCUCCAUUGUACCUUCCUGAGUAUCAGAGGGGAAAGCUUCAAUCAACUGCCUCCCUUGUGGCUGUGAUCCUGAAGGCUGGCCGUGGAUCGUGAACUUGGGAAGGCAGAAGUGAGGCAGAGGCCAUCGUCUUGCCACCUUUGACUGCAUCUGACAAACAAGAUCAACAUGUGACUUUAAAGGACAGCCAGGCUUACUUCCAGGAGAGCCGGAGGGAUAUAGGAAACGGAGACUCUGCUCUUACAGGUCGUGUGUGACAUCUCACUGUGCAUUCCCCGGGCACAGGCAGUAAUGUGAAAGGAGCCCGCGUCAGACCCACCUGCUGACCCUGAGAGCACCUGAGAGAGG